GUGGGCCCUCGAAAUCCUGUGGCGGGAUCAUUCAGUUGUUGAGCGAACUUGUUCGUCGCCGGAAGAGUGAAACCGAAGGUUCCCGCGACGGGGCCGUUCUGGCGACGCGACGGGAACGAUCCGACGCAUUUGUUUCCCGCCCGAGAGGACGCCGCGACCGGUUGGAGGACGACCUUAAGGGCUCGAGAGCCGGCAGGUGGCCGGUGGCUGGGGCUUUUAGUCUCGGCCGCCGGUUGUUAGCCUUCUCGCCACACGGGACGUCCGCCGACCGUGGCAAUAGAGAGGCCUCGUUGGGCUUCGUCGUCUCCUCCCUUAAAGGCUGCGGGUGAAGAGACGCGGCAGGGGCUCGACGCGGCGUGGGCGCACAGACUCCCUCUGUGGCCACGCGCCGUGCUCGUCCCCGUUGGUUGCGUAUGCCCCGUGGGAGUGAUUGACGGUUUGCGGCGAGUAGAUCGGUCACCCACCCGACCCGUCUUGAAACACGGACCAAGGAGUAUAACAUGUGUGCGAGUCAAUGGGUCUCGAGUAAGCCCAGAGGCGCAAUGAAAGCGAAGGCAAGGAGGACUCCUGCCGUGUCGAGAUCCCUGCACCUUUGCGUGCGGGGCGCAUCGACGACCCGCUCCUGUCCGCUCGCGGAUGGGGCGGAGUCCGAGCACACACGUUGUGACCCGAAAGAUGGUGAUCUAUGCCCGGACAGGACGAAGUCAGAGGAAACUCUGAUGGAGGUCCGUAGCGGUUCUGACGUGCAAAUCGAUCGUCAGAUCUGGGUC
This 770-nucleotide ribosomal RNA is filed under the name Lepthyphantes mauli. Its description in RNAcentral is "partial large subunit ribosomal RNA". The stretch from base 362 to 770 matches the Rfam family "Eukaryotic large subunit ribosomal RNA", at positions 1 to 917 of the family's 3401-position model. Lineage: Eukaryota; Metazoa; Arthropoda; Arachnida; Araneae; Linyphiidae. The record is from RNAcentral.